RNAcentral lists this long non-coding RNA (677 nucleotides) under Citrus x clementina. Its description in RNAcentral is "Citrus clementina (C. clementina) long non-coding RNA (CCLE_LNC004397)". The record is from RNAcentral. Lineage: Eukaryota; Viridiplantae; Streptophyta; Magnoliopsida; Sapindales; Rutaceae.
AUAUAUACACACUAUAUACAUUAUAUUGUUAUAUCCAACCCGCAAGAACUCGCAAAAGCAACUUCCUUUUGUGUUUUGAUUAUAGUUCAGCAGAAGCUAGCAGAGAUAUUUUCUGAUUAAUUUGAAGACUAUGAAAACCCCUUGGGCAGGUUUUUAAUAGGGCAACUUCAUUUGAGUUUUUUUUUUUUUCUCUUAAUAUAUGUAUUCACGAAUAAAUUUUCUAAUAUGAAUUUUUCAAGAAAAGACGAGUGGUUGGAGGGCCAUCCUAGGAAAAUUUCAAGUAUGCUCGAUGAUGAGAAAGCCAAUAAAGAUAAUCUUGAUCUUCUUAUUGUUCCUCAAUAUGGAAGAAAUCCAGACUAUACUGGUUAAGUUCGUAUAAAAAAAAUAAUUAUCUUAUUACCUAUUAAUCCUAUGUCGAUUUAGUUUAAUGCAACUGAUAAUCUCUUUAAGAGAUUUGAAAAAUAAAGAACCGAGUUGAUGAAUAAAGCUUCUUCACUACUUUUGCAUUAACGUUGCUGCAUAUAUAUAUAUAUAUAUAUAUAUAUGUGUGUGUGUGUGUACAAUCCUAAAGCCUUAAUAAGGAUAAAAUCCUAAGUUGUCUAAAAUUACAGAUUCACAAUGAUAUACAAAUCUAAUUUCCUUAAAUACAAAACCGACUUUUAUAUGUACCGACUUCU